Molecule: long non-coding RNA, 5367 nt
Organism: Oncorhynchus masou masou (cherry salmon)
Lineage: Eukaryota; Metazoa; Chordata; Actinopteri; Salmoniformes; Salmonidae
Exons: 4
Source: RefSeq, a predicted model, not a curated record
GAAAAAAAUGAAUCAUGCUGGAAAAAUGAAGCAAGCAAUGGCGCACCCAUGGGUGAACUUGUUUUUCAAGGCAGCACUCGAUGACAUGCACCCCCUGGGAGCCUGUCACUUCCAAAACAGUCAUCCACUCAGCAGUACUUUGCCCAAGCAAGUCCGAAAUAGCACAAGCAGGUCUGACAUGUUCUACCACCACCACCUCCUGAUGAGGACGAACACCCUUGGCCGUAUCUAAUAUAAAUGUUUUAUUUUCUCAGAAUGAAGGAUUCAUCCUACAGGAUGAAAUGUAUGUUAUGUUUACUUAAAGUCCAGGAAAUACUAGCGUUCGAGAACUCGCGGGUGAAUCUAAAAUCGAAUCUAAAAAAAACACAUUGAGGUAAGCCUACUGUUAGCUUGCCAGCUAGCUAGAAUAAUGUUAGCAUGCUAGCUAACAUUAGCUAACCUAGCUAGCUAGCCCACGUUUACUAAUGCAACAAGCAGUGUUAGUUGAUGCUAGUUAAUCCUAUUCCUAAAUAGUUCACUAGCUAGUAGCUACCUACUUUAACUGGCUAAAAUGUGCCCAGAUUUGGAAGCUUUGUUAGCUAAUGCAAUCUAAAUAAACUAAUGUUCGCUAACUAGCCAGCGUAGUAGUUUCCGUAUCUGGGCACAUUUUAGUCAGUUAACGUUAGUCUAGCCAAAUACCUUUUCUCUAAACACCCAUGGUGAAGCUAGCUAGCUAACAUUAACAUUUUAUUCAUUGUGUUAAUUGAUAAAUUUGUUCUUCUUACCUAGCUAAUUAAUGUAGACUUAAGGUAUUGACAUAACCUACCAACUAGAUGAAUGAACAUUUUUGCAUGUUUACAAUUAACAUUGUAAAAUGAAAUGGUGGUCACAAACUCUCACUUAAAUAAUGUUGUUUAUACAUUUAAAAUUAGGAUCUGUGAGGUUCUAUGUUAUGCACUAUAGCCCGUUACCAUAUCAUAUGUGAUUGAAUAUUAUCUGCUGUUGGCUUGUGUGGGUGUAUGUGUUAUGCAACAUAGCUGACUUGAGACAUUGUUAACAGUUUCAGGGCCAUGGGCCUUUCUCGUGAUGGAAAAAUACAGAAUAACAUAAAAACGGACACAUACAGAAUGUAAUGUAGGGAACAAACAGUAUUUUGUUAGAUAACAGGAGCCAGGUGUGUGAUAACUGUAUUGAGUGCAUGAGCGCAUAGAUGUUCUACACAACUACAACGACUGACCGCCGAAGCGCCUAGGGGGCUGGGACCAGCUCGUGCACCAACAAUCAACGAUAGGCUGAGUGAGUUUAAACCACACCCAGUCUCUACUCUGACAGGCCGGCUCUGAAGCAGGAACUACUUCUGUCAGAGUAUAUUAUAAUAACUUUGUUAGGAACAACUCCGUUCUCUGUUCUACCCUGCGUGGUGUUACAGCAGACCCGUAUAUACGAAAAUUGCAUUUACCACUUAUUGCUUAGCUAAUAAAAAGUACAUAGUAUACAAUCGGUGACUCAAUGUCAUAUUUAUCCUGAUACCAGAUUCGAUUGACGCAAUCCUUAACAGAUCCUAUACCUUAAGUAUUGUGAGGAAGCUGUGGUGAAGUAUGUGGUCCAAGGGCUCCAAACAUUCACUGUUGUAGAAUAAGAAACGUUCAGAGAGUUUGUCCAGGAUCUGCAGCCUAACUCAAAGAUCAUAUCAAGACCCAAUGCGCUCCAGUAUUGAUGAAACCUCCAAGAAAAUAAAGUGACUGAGGCCAUGACAAGUUGAUCACAUCGCCACCACCACCGACUGCUGAUCUGCAAGAAGACAGAAAUGCAUUGGUGUUACAGCCCAUUGGAUAGACCCUGAAAGUCUCAACAGAUGCUCUGCAGCCCUGGCCUGUAAACGGUUGAGAGGCCCGCACACCUUUGUUGGCAGGCGCCAUAAAUUACAUAAAUUCUCAGUUAUUAAUCCGGGGUAAGAUUGUGAGAACAACAGACCACGGCUUUAACUUCUUGAAAGCUUUCCAAGUUUUUGGAGAAGAUGAAAAUAACGAUGCAGUCGAUGUAGUGGGUGGUGGUGGUGAAGCAGCUCAGCCAGGACAGGAAGAUGAUGAAGUGGAGGAACAAGAGGAGAGUGAAGAAGUGGAGUUGGUUUAUGUGGCAACGAUCCUGAAUGAAGAUGAUAGUUUUAAGUACCAGCUGCCGAAGCACCAGCGUUGUGUUAGACACCUACUCAACUUAGUAUCUACAGUCGAUGCCCUGAAAGCAUACAAAAAAAAGUGUCCCGUUCAACAUUUGGCAAGUGCCAAGCACUUUGGAACAAAUGAGGAAGAUCCACACUUGCAGCCGAAACGUUUGAAGAUGCUUGGGACCUCCAGCUGCUGCGCCCGAAUGCUAUAAGGUGAACCUCCUGGUUCAUGGCUGUAGAAAGGCUCUUGUGGAUCAUCAAAGACAAAGAGAGGCUGCCGUCAGAGUUCUCCGCACAGACAUUGAGGUUUGAAUGUAAGUAAGGAUUAUGUAUUCUUUUAUCAUAAUUUAAGGUCUUGAAUGUUGUCUAAAUCUGUUGCCGUAUUUCCUGAUCCUUUGCUUUGGGACUAAUAACUGUUUGACAUAUUGUAGCCAUACACUACACAGUAAAUCACCCAUGUUAAAUUCACUGUAUAAAAAGUGAUCAACUCCCAUAGAGUUGUUUAAGCAACUGGCAGUGCCAAAUGACCCCUAGCGUCAGUGCUGAUAACUGGUGUUAAUUGCUAAGGUAUACAAUUUUACUCUAUUAGUGUAGACUUUUACUCAGUAAGUGUAAACAUCAUCACAACCCCGCCCAGUUUCUGAGUUCAAAUUUCCUCUUUUCUCGACACCAUUGUUGGAUCAACAAAAUCCUAAUUUGUUCCACGCAAAAGUGAAUUUUAAACAAUUAUUUCACUAAUAUUAUUAAGCUAUUUUAAUUUAAAUACUUGAUACUUGUUUGUCAGAGUGCAGUGUUACAUAAAAAGUAACAGUUUUGAUUGUGUGUGCAGCUAAUGUUAGAGUUACUUGCGUUUCACUUUUUGCACGUCUUUACUAGAUAGCUAGCAUGCUAGCUAACUAGCUCGCCCCUGUCCUGUGCAGUUAGUCUGCUCCACGUGGUGGUUCCAUGGGCGCGUGUCUCAUUUCAGCACCAGGCUUUUUUAGCCCCAUGCUAGUUUGUUCUCUUUAUUUCAGCUGCUUAUUAUAUAUUUAGGACUAAUCUGAUUCAAGGUGAGUUGUUUAUUUAGCCAAAUUGUUACUGCAUUUUCGACUUGUGGGUGAUGCUUAUAGAUAAAUAUUGUGACCAUUGCAUCGACAGCUAGCUAGACUUAACUAACUGCAUUUCCCACUUGCUUUAUGACCAGUUAAUUUUGGCCGUCUUGUAAGACUGCUCCUAGAACAUGACAACAUAAUAUAGUGACUAGCUGGAAUUAUGAGUGCAUUUUACUGGACUAAUUAGGCCAUCCAUAUUUUGGGACAGUGAAUGUGAGUUGAGUAGUCUGUUUGCUGUAGUUUUGGACCUGCUUUAAGUCAUAUCAGACAAGUUGUGGUCAUGAUCCAAUAUUUUCAUAAUACACUUUGAAAUUAGCAUUGCUAAGUAAAGGAGUAUUGGUGAAAACAUUUGUAGUUAUCCUGAUAUAAUGUGUCAUGAUUUAAAUACAAAUACAAUGCCUUUUCAUCCAUUUUGGCCUUAUCUCGUACCAUUAACUGCUUUCAGACCUAGUUUUCAUGCUGAUCAGGGUGAAAUUCAGUGGUGAACAAAAAUAUGUCAAGAUCAUUGACCUGACACUUGAACAUCUUUUGAUUUGAGGUCAACUUUAAGUUUGUGAUUGGAAAUAAAUGUAUUGUGUUCAUAGAUUUACAAGUCAGUCUGAUUACUCUCUUGCUAUUACAAUUGUAAUUGUAGGUUGUUGUUUUAAUGUUUGUCACAGCUUUCCUGAAAUUUGUGACCCCACUUACUAGUUUAUCAGAGGCAAAGCUGUAUGAUGGGUCUGGAACUGAAGAUGAUGGGUAUGUGUUUGAGGAGGUGGUGAAAUGGCCAGAUCUUGGUGUUUCCAAUCUCACACUAAACAAUGAUGCUAAAGGCAUGUGCUGGUUUUCAAGUAUUGGUUACUUGUGGCAUCAAUUUCAAUAUAACCAUACAUUUGACAUGUAUUGUUUUGUCAUCCUGUAUUUAAGAAUCUUCCCUGAUGAGUCAUGCCUCUGCCAGUUCUAUGAUGGGUGGUUCAGGCCAUGAGUCGGAUGAUACAAUAAUGGAUGAUACAAAAAUUUUGAGCGAGGAUGGAAGCCCCUCGCGAAAGCAUCAAAGAUCUGAUGACGAAACAAAAAAUCUAAUAGAGAGCAAACUGAAGAAAAAGUCUGGUGGAGAGGUUGUCAUCAAGGAAAACUCCAAAACUAACUAAACUGACUGCACCAGACGAAAGAUGAUCAACAUUCUUGUUUUGGAGAUGACAGACUCUUACGCUGACUGGGGACCAAAGCUGCUUGUGGAGAUUCUGAUUGCCACCUAGAUAUAACAUUAUAGGAUUGUCAGGACAUCACCAUUGCGCAGUGUGAGAGAAACAAUUGCAUAAGACAUAGUCUCCUUGUUCCCAUACCAGAAAGAUCCCUACACCGCAAAUGGAUAUGUAAGUAUACAUUACAACUGAUAAAGGGCAUCUGUGUUUAAUUAGUCUGGUAUGGUAUCUGAGCAAAUGGGACUUGGUUAUUUGUUUUUUCUUUCAAGAUUAGUAACCAUAUUCAUUUUCUUAAGGAACAUUAUUACGACCCUAAUAGUGGAGAAGUGUACCUCUCGUAUAGAAUCCAAACCAUUCAGAGGAAUUUGGCUUCAUCUGAGAAACGGCCCACUCAACUAUACUAUGGAGGGCCAACUGCUGAAAGGGAGUCCAGUCCAUACACUUUGGAUGGACCGGUGCAGAGAGGCCAUUUCUCUUAUGAAAAAUUAUUCUAAUGAAGAAACAGUCAAACUUGAAAUUAACCUUCGAGUACAGGAAGAUGACCCACGACCUGAGUAAAUGUUCCACCAUCCUAACCAAAUUUCCACGCUUUCUGGAUGUGAAGGGCUUGGUAAAAAACAAUGUUUUUAUGUUUUAAGUUGUAUAAAUUUUGUUUAAUUUCCAGAUGCCAAUUUUUUGCCCGCUUUGAGGACAAUACAGUGCCACUGACACGGCCUGCAACGGAAACAUGCGGUCUCUCCAUCACUGCAGCCGAGAUUGAACAGGAUUUUGUGCUGCUGUUUUUUGAGGGAACAUCAGCCAAGUUUUUGGAGAGGUGGCCAACUACAAUCAAGCACGAAUGCGGAUGGUUAGAUGAUCAUCACUUGUCAUUUACACUACCGUUCAAAAGUUUGGAGUCACUUGGAAAUGUCCUUGUUUUUGAAAGAAAAGCACAUUUUUUGUCCAAUAA